CGGCGGACGGGUGAGUAACGCGUGGGUAACCUGCCUCAUACAGGGGGAUAACAGUUAGAAAUGGCUGCUAAUACCGCAUAAGCGCACAGGACCGCAUGGUCUGGUGUGAAAAACUCCGGUGGUAUGAGAUGGACCCGCGUCUGAUUAGCUAGUUGGAGGGGUAACGGCCCACCAAGGCGACGAUCAGUAGCCGGCCUGAGGGGGUGAACGGCCACAUUGGGACUGAGACACGGCCCAG
RNAcentral lists this ribosomal RNA (238 nucleotides) under uncultured bacterium. Its description in RNAcentral is "partial 16S ribosomal RNA". It matches the Rfam family "Bacterial small subunit ribosomal RNA", at positions 96 to 334 of the family's 1533-position model. The record is from RNAcentral.